Molecule: transfer RNA, 74 nt
Filed under: Solobacterium moorei F0204
Lineage: Bacteria; Bacillati; Bacillota; Erysipelotrichia; Erysipelotrichales; Erysipelotrichaceae
Also listed under: 2 other names
Rfam family: tRNA
About the family: Transfer RNA (tRNA) molecules are approximately 80 nucleotides in length. Their secondary structure includes four short double-helical elements and three loops (D, anti-codon, and T loops).
Source: Rfam by way of RNAcentral
GUCCUCGUAGCUCAGCUGGAUAGAGCUCACGCCUUCUAAGCGUGUGGUCAAGAGUUCGAAUCUCUUCGAGGACG